UACCUGCAGCUCGAGUGGUAACCGCUAUUAUUGGGCCUAAAGCGUCCGUAGCCGGUUUGGUAAAUAUCUGGGUAAAUCGUGAGGCUUAACUUCACGAAUUUCGGAUAGACUGCCAGACUUGGGAUCGGGGGAGGUCAGAGGUACUCCAGGGGUAGCGGUGAAAUGUUGUAAUCCUUGGAGGACCACCGGUAGCGAAGGCGUCUGACUAGAACGAGUCCGACGGUGAGGGAUGAAGCCCUGGGGCGCAAACCGGAUUAGAUACCCGGGUAGUCCAGGGUGUAAACGAUGUGGGCUUUGUAUUGGAGGUCCCACGUGGGCGUCCAGUGCAGAAGAGAAGUUGUUAAGCCCACCGCCUGGGAAGUACGGUCGCAAGGCUGAAACUUAAAGGAAUUGGCGGGGGAGCACAGCAACGGGAGGAGCGUGCGGUU
RNAcentral lists this ribosomal RNA (428 nucleotides) under uncultured archaeon. RNAcentral's name for it is "bacterial SSU rRNA". It matches the Rfam family "Archaeal small subunit ribosomal RNA", at positions 474 to 902 of the family's 1478-position model. The record is from RNAcentral.